RNAcentral lists this ribosomal RNA (878 nucleotides) under Staphylococcus aureus. RNAcentral's name for it is "partial 23S ribosomal RNA". It matches the Rfam family "Bacterial large subunit ribosomal RNA", at positions 1 to 875 of the family's 2925-position model. Lineage: Bacteria; Bacillati; Bacillota; Bacilli; Caryophanales; Staphylococcaceae. The record is from RNAcentral.
AGAUUAAGUUAUUAAGGGCGCACGGUGGAUGCCUUGGCACUAGAAGCCGAUGAAGGACGUUACUAACGACGAUAUGCUUUGGGGAGCUGUAAGUAAGCUUUGAUCCAGAGAUUUCCGAAUGGGGAAACCCAGCAUGAGUUAUGUCAUGUUAUCGAUAUGUGAAUACAUAGCAUAUCAGAAGGCACACCCGGAGAACUGAAACAUCUUAGUACCCGGAGGAAGAGAAAGAAAAUUCGAUUCCCUUAGUAGCGGCGAGCGAAACGGGAAGAGCCCAAACCAACAAGCUUGCUUGUUGGGGUUGUAGGACACUCUAUACGGAGUUACAAAGGACGACAUUAGACGAAUCAUCUGGAAAGAUGAAUCAAAGAAGGUAAUAAUCCUGUAGUCGAAAAUGUUGUCUCUCUUGAGUGGAUCCUGAGUACGACGGAGCACGUGAAAUUCCGUCGGAAUCUGGGAGGACCAUCUCCUAAGGCUAAAUACUCUCUAGUGACCGAUAGUGAACCAGUACCGUGAGGGAAAGGUGAAAAGCACCCCGGAAGGGGAGUGAAAUAGAACCUGAAACCGUGUGCUUACAAGUAGUCAGAGCCCGUUAAUGGGUGAUGGCGUGCCUUUUGUAGAAUGAACCGGCGAGUUACGAUUUGAUGCAAGGUUAAGCAGUAAAUGUGGAGCCGUAGCGAAAGCGAGUCUGAAUAGGGCGUUUAGUAUUUGGUCGUAGACCCGAAACCAGGUGAUCUACCCUUGGUCAGGUUGAAGUUCAGGUAACACUGAAUGGAGGACCGAACCGACUUACGUUGAAAAGUGAGCGGAUGAACUGAGGGUAGCGGAGAAAUUCCAAUCGAACCUGGAGAUAGCUGGUUCUCUCCGAAAUAGCUUUAGGG